This 1776-nucleotide ribosomal RNA is filed under the name Triticum aestivum (bread wheat). RNAcentral's name for it is "partial small subunit ribosomal RNA". The record is from RNAcentral. Lineage: Eukaryota; Viridiplantae; Streptophyta; Magnoliopsida; Poales; Poaceae.
AGUGGAAACGACCCCCCAGAAAUUAUCGCCAUAGACAAAGCCACGGCAAUCCCACCAGUGCCAGAGAGGGUUGAAGUAGGCAACUCCCCAAUAUAUAUAACUGGUAAGAAGUUGAGUGGUAAGGUCUAUGUUGGCAGACGAUUAGGUAUGCCCAGUGGAGGAUACAAGGGUCGAAAUGCAAUCGAGGUUGCACUGAAAUUUGUGCAUCGGAGAAGCAGGGAAGGUAGCUGUGACCCCCCAUAUGAGUGGCAAGUCUAUCAGGCUCUCAAUGGUUGUUAUGGCAUACCAUCGGUACACUACAAGGGUUGCCAAGGAGACUACUACAUUCUUGUAAUGGACCUGCUUGGUCCUAGCCUCUGGAAUGCUUGGCAUUCACCAGGACAGGAGAUGUCAGUUCUAAAGGUUGCUUGUAUUGCCAUCGACGCCAUAUCAAUUCUUGAGAAGAUUCACUCCAAAGGCUUUAUACAUGGUGAUGUAAAACCUGAAAACUUUUUGCUUGGUCAGCCUGGAUCUGCUCAAGAAAAGAAGCUUUUUCUCAUUAAUUUUGGUUUAGCAUCUAACUGGAAAUGGAAAAGAGGAUCAUCCAGUAUGCAUGUUCAGUAUGAUCAGAGGCUAGACAUAUUUAGGGGAACAAUUAGAUAUGCUAGCGUCCAUGCCCAUUUAGGUCGUACGGGCAGUAGGAGAGAUGAUUUGGAGUCACUAGCAUACAGCCUUAUAUUUUUAUUACGAGGAAGCUUGCCAUGGCAAGGCUGUCAGGGAGAUAACAAGAGCUUUCUUGUUUGUAAGAAGAAAAUGGAGACUUCUCCAGAGGUCCUGUGUAGCUUCUGUCCAGCCCCAUUCAAACAUUUUCUUGAGUUGGUUACUACUAUGAAAUUUGAUGAAGAGCCAAAGUACGAAAAACUUGUUUCUCUCUUUGAUGAUCUGAUUAUCGGGCCUGUUUCAAGACCCAUCAGGAUCGCUGGAGGUCUAGAGGUUGGACAUAAACGUGGAAGAAUUGUUGUAAAUCUUGAAGAAGAUGAACAGCCUAUGGAAAAAGUUCGGUUGGGGAGCCCAGCAACUCAAUGGAUUUCGAUUUAUAGUGCUAGGCGGAACAUGACGCAGCGAUGCCACUAUAAUAUAGCUGAUUCAAGGCUGCAUCAGCACAUACAAAAAGGUUAUGAAGAUGGCGUGUUCAUUAGUUGUAUAGCUUCUUUAAAAAAUGUGUGGACUGUCAUCAUGGAUACUGGGACCGGCUUUUCUUCUCAAGUUUUCAAUCUUUCACGAAAUUUCCUACAGAAGGAUUGGAUUAGGGAGCAGUCGGAGAAGAACUUUUACAUAACAGCAAUAGCUGGAGCAACCAAUGGAAGCUCAUUGGUUGUGAUGUCCAAAGGGACUCCGUACACACAGCAGUCAUACAAAGUCAGUGAAUCUUUUCCUUAUAAGUGGAUUAAUAAAAAGUGGAAAGAAGGUUUUCAUGUAACAUGUAUGGGUACUGCUGGGAACCGUUGGGGUGUUGUCACGUCAAGGAACACCGAUUAUUCCUACCAGGCUGUUGAGUUAGACUUUGUGUAUCCAAGUGAAGGAAUCCAUCAGCGAUAUGGUGCCGGUUACAGAAUAACAUCAUGCGCAGCCACGCCUGACCAAACCGCUUUUAUCAUGAGCAUAGCCAAGGAGUCCAAGACGAAACCAGUGGAUGAAACUUUUCUGACUUCUGAUUUCCCCAGCAAGGCUACGAAGGAGCAAUGGGCGAAGGGCCUAUACAUCACCUCGAUCUGCCACGGGCGAACUGCGUGUUGA